Molecule: ribosomal RNA, 393 nt
Filed under: uncultured bacterium
Lineage: Bacteria
Description: partial 16S ribosomal RNA
Rfam family: Bacterial small subunit ribosomal RNA
Source: RNAcentral
AUACGGAGGAUCCGAGCGUUAUCCGGAUUUAUUGGGUUUAAAGGGAGCGUAGGUGGAUUGUUAAGUCAGUUGUGAAAGUUUGCGGCUCAACCGUAAAAUUGCAGUUGAAACUGGCAGUCUUGAGUACAGUAGAGGUGGGCGGAAUUCGUGGUGUAGCGGUGAAAUGCUUAGAUAUCACGAAGAACUCCGAUUGCGAAGGCAGCUCACUAGACUGUUACUGACACUGAUGCUCGAAAGUGUGGGUAUCAAACAGGAUUAGAUACCCUGGUAGUCCACACAGCAAACGAUGAAUACUCGCUGUUUGCGAUAUACAGUAAGCGGCCAAGCGAAAGCAUUAAGUAUUCCACCUGGGGAGUACGCCGGCAACGGUGAAACUCAAAGGAAUUGACGGGG